GUCUUCUUAGCGCAGUGAGCAGCGCGUCAGUCUCAUAAUCUGAAGGUCCUGAUGUUCGAGCCUGAGAAAAGGCA
Molecule: transfer RNA, 74 nt
Filed under: Homo sapiens (human)
Lineage: Eukaryota; Metazoa; Chordata; Mammalia; Primates; Hominidae
Rfam family: tRNA
About the family: Transfer RNA (tRNA) molecules are approximately 80 nucleotides in length.
Source: Rfam by way of RNAcentral